RNAcentral lists this ribosomal RNA (253 nucleotides) under uncultured bacterium. RNAcentral's name for it is "partial 16S ribosomal RNA". It matches the Rfam family "Bacterial small subunit ribosomal RNA", at positions 524 to 776 of the family's 1533-position model. The record is from RNAcentral.
GACGAACCGUCCAAACGUUAUUCGGAAUCACUGGGCUUAAAGGGUGCGUAGGCCGUGCGGUAAGUUGGGUGUGAAAUCCCUGGGCUUAACCCAGGAAUGGCGCCCAAUACUGCCGGACUUGAGGGAGACAGAGGUAAGCGGAACUGAUGGUGGAGCGGUGAAAUGCGUUGAUAUCAUCAGGAACACCAGUGGCGAAGGCGGCUUACUGGGUCUCUUCUGACGCUGAGGCACGAAAGCUAGGGUAGCGAACGGG